Taeniopygia guttata (zebra finch) is the source of this 6230-nucleotide non-coding RNA. Lineage: Eukaryota; Metazoa; Chordata; Aves; Passeriformes; Estrildidae. The record is from RefSeq and is a predicted model, not a curated record.
AAUAUCCAUGCAGUUCAAACGUUUUCAUUAGAUUCAGACAAGAAGGAGGAUGUGGGAUUGUUUUUUUUUUUCUGUAAUUGUUAAUCUCUCCAUUUUUAAAUUGUUUUUCUUAAAACACUCUUCAGAAAUAAAAUCUCAGGUAAAUCAAAGAGACGGGGAAAGUAAUUCUCUUUAAUUAUUCUUAGAGCAAUUUUGAGUAAUGUAGGUUAAAUUAAAAAAAUAUACAAGCAAGAUAUUUUGGCUGGGAAGUAUGUGUAAUGUAUGAACAGCAGGAAAAAAAAAGCCUUCCUUUCUAAAUAGAAAAUCUUUGAAAGUAACAGGGGGAAACGGAUGGGAAGGGCUGAAGUCCAUAUAUUCCCACCUCCUCCGCCUUGUGCUCUCUUAAAGGUGAGCUGCAAAAUGCAAAAGAGAAAUGUGUUAAAUUCAGAUGACUCGCUCGGGUGUCAGGAAGUGGCUCGAACAACCACACGAAGUUAACUAACACAUUCCCUUUUUUUUUUGUUCAUCCCCUCCCUCCCCUGCUCUUCUCGUGAAAUCUGGUUUUUUUUGCUGCUGUGGUUUCUGCCUCCAGGCGGGAGCGCAGCCACUUGUCCACCUGAGUGGCACCCCAAGACCCCCCCAUGGCUUGCAGAGAGCCAAGAAUUUCUGGGAUGAUCUUCCAGAAAGUAAGAAAGGAGGAGAAUUUCAGAAAAUGUAUUCCUGAUCUAAACAGCCUGGCUGCAGGAGAAAUGAGAUAAGCUCUGAGGGAUGGCACGUUGAGCUUGUGUUGCUUUGCUGCUCAUCUUUUGUCUGAUCAAUCCAUCUUAUUAUCACCCACCUGCUCUGUUCUAGGUCUUCUUCAGCAACAUGGUUCAUGCCAUUCGUGGGGUUAAGUAUCCUGGUCUCAGGAACCCAAAAUGCACUGAAGGAGCAAAACUGCAACCCACCCUGUGCAAUUCCUUGUAAACACAAUGUGCCGAGAUUUCCAACAAGCACCAUCUCUGAUAACCACAAUCAUUCCCAUUCCACUGAAACUGGUCAGAAUGAGUUUGGAGAACUGGGCAGCGCCUGAUCUUUCUGUGGAAGGAAAACGCAGCUCAGCUGAGGCAAGCAAAUAUAUGAGUCAACAUCUGAAAUGUGAUGCAGAGAAAACAUUGCAACUGCUUGGUUGAUAUCAGCUACAAAGUCAGCCUCCUUGAGCUUGCAAUAAUUUGAUGUGCAUCCAUCUUAAUUGAAGCUGAUCCAUUUCAGUCUUGGCAGCACAUUGAUAAUAAACAAGAACCAAACACCAUUUGGCAAAUUCCAAUCUACCAGCAAACCCAGGGAGGAAGCAGAAAACCUGGGAUCGUCUCCUGGAAUCAUUUCCUGGGCUGCAGCUCCGUCUUUAUGAGCCAAGCUGCUUGCAAACAACGAGGGCCUUUGUUAAAUUGUGAGCCUUGGAAGAUCGCUGUGCUCCACCUUUCAGGUAAAAGGGCUCACAGGAAGCCUUUGGGGCAGAGGAGACCCCAGUUCCACUUUCCAAGCAGGAGGAUUUUCCCAGGAGGACUCACAGCACUGGCCUUCCAGACUACAGACAACACUGAUGUCUUUUAAAGGUUUAUCAAGAGCAUCUUGCUCACGAUGGGGAGGGGGCAGCAGACUUCUGCAGCAGCCCAUCCUCUUGGUCUUGGCUUUAUUUUAGGGUGGUCUUGUGGCCACUAAGCAGACAUGAGCUAUAGAUUUACCUCCACUGGCUGCUGUUUUGGGCCACGGGAUUUUAGGCACAAGAAGCUGGUCCUGCGUGUUUUAUAGCAAGCCCAAGGCUUCACCUGCCAGCUCAGCAUAGAAAGUUUACCCAUUACCAACCUGUGGCGGUCGGGUUCCCUUUGUUCCCAGAAAACAAAGGCUCUGUGUUCACAGCUAAAUCCCUCCAUCCAAGUGUUUCCUGUAACAAAACAAAAGCCCGCUAAAUAGGAACGUUUCUCCCUCUGGGAAACGAUGCAUUCCCUCACGUUCACGGUAUGCAGUGUUCCCUUAGUUCACUGAUUUUGUUACUUUUUACAGUUCAGUUUCCAUACGCUGCUGCUCAUGUGUGGUGCCAAUGCUGCUGGUGAUGAAUUUCUCGCAGAGCUGACUUGAGCAAUGUCUCUGUAGUAAUAAUUUUCUGUCUCCCCAGCGUUUAGCUGAGUACAUUGUCUCCAAGACCUUUCACCAAGCAUCCAUCAGGAAGGAGUUCAAGCUAAGCAAGACAUUACCCCGUUCCAGAGGCUGAGCAAAGCACAUGCCUACCCUGUAACUAAUUAUUUCUAUUGGCUGAUUGGUUUUUAAUGCAUCUGUUUUACAGGUAAACAGAUUUAUCUUAGGAAGGCAUAGGUAAUAAUGAUGCUGGGGUUUUUUUAUUCAUUGCCUUCCAUCAGAGACUGAAGGGCUCCAUGCUGAAAUAGGUGUCAUUUAGCUGUACAGUCCCUUGAUUUUUGUACUUAGGCAGAAUGGGCAUCUGAGACUGCUGGGUACAAUUAGGAAAGCCUGAAAAACUUGUGGAGCCUUCUAACAAGACUCCAUAAAUGGAUGCCAUUAACCAUGUGUUCUCCAACCCCAGCUCCUCAUGAACCUCCUCUUUAUAAAAUAGAACUUUUUGUAAUUGUCAGAGUCCCUGGAGGAGCCAAUUUCUGGUGCAAGGAGCCCACAACAUGGAUUUCACAUGCAGACAGCACAAAGAGCAUCAGCUAUUUGUGAUGUUCCACUCCCCCUCCUGAUCCCAGGUAUAAAUCUCAUCGUUAAUAUUUUGGAGGCAUCUCAGCAACUGCUCUGGCAACUGUGAUGCUGCUUAUACAGUGGUUGUAUUGCAGAAACACUCACAGAGCACACAGCCCCUGGAUCAAGGAGCACACAGCCCCUGGAUCAAGGAGACCCAAAGGUCAGCGCUUGACCCAAAGUACUUAAGACUGAAACAUCAGAAGGGAAGAUGGAAGCACUGGAGACAGAAAAGCUCUGCUCACUGGUAUAAUUUAGAUGCAAUCAGGGGAUUGCAAUGAGGGAAAGGAUCUUGAAUAUCCAGUUCAGACUUACAAAUUAGGGAAAGGGAAGAAAAUCACCAAGUUAAAAUUCUUGGAGGGAGAUGUCAUAUAUGUACAUGGUAAGUAAAGCCAUGGGCAGAGAGCACUGCCUUGGUGAUGUCCUCAUCCACACCACUCCUGCCUGUGUUUUUAACUUGUUUUCAAAUAAAUGUGGGUCUUAAAACCAAAAAUCUAUUGCUAGAGGUACUCAAGAGUUGCAGUGCCUGCCUUCAAUCUAUCCUGGCCAGUCUUGGAGACCUGAGCCACAGUGAACCCAACAAGCACUCACGAGUGUUCACAUGUAACAGACCUCCUCAGGUGAAAGUGUGGUUCCCCCAUUCCUGGACUUUUCUGCUUUGGAGAGACCCUUCUUUUUCUUACCACUAAUGCAAAAAAAAAAAAAAAAAAAAAAAAAAAAAAAAAAAAAAAAAAAGAAGAAGGGCUUUCAGGGUAAAUUUUACCAGGGCCAGGUUUUCCUGCCUGCCCUCCCAGGGCUGGGGGAAGGAGGAAGACCUUUACCUGCUGCUCGCUGCUGGGCAGGGGGCACCAGGAAGGAAACAGGACCCAGCCGUCUGGCGACAGCUUUUUUCGGCUGGAUUUCGGCUCGCCUGCCAGGCUGGGGUUGCAGCUGGCUGGCCUGAUCUCCUUCCCUCCCACCGGCUCUCACUGGGAGCAGAACAUGCCUUCUCCUGCUGAUUUCUGCUUGCCAUAUUGAUUGCAGCAGGGUAUAAUGGAGACAAGUCAGGCAGAAAGCCAGCCACCCUUGGGAAUGAUUAAAGAGCAAGCAGAAAAGGAUAGAAGUGAAGAAAAACAGGCUGACACUUAGGGCAUGGUGGAUUUGGAGCAAAUUAUGCCCUUUUCCCCACCUCACCCCUGCGAGGUGCCUGGGAUGGUUCAGCAGCACCUCUAUUUCAGCUCUGCCCAAAAGAAGCAUCAUAUCGGCCCCCAUGAACGCGGGGAACAAAAUCCCCAGAACGUGUACAAUAUCCCUAUUGUGCAUGGAUUUGAAGCCUGAUUAUUCAGAGCAUAGCCAAGGAAAGGUAAGGCUAUGACCCAUUGUUUUCCUGCGAUCAAUUGAAUACUGUCAUUUGCAUUUAAAACGCUCUAAAUUCGCACUGUCAAUAUGCCAAACAGCUGCUCGAGCUUUUCAGCAUUCCAUGGUGACAAUCACACUAUCAUACAUCAUUGGCACCAGGAUUUGCAAUACUCUCAGUGUCAAAAUUUUGUGGGUUUUUUUUACGAGGGGAAAAAAAAAAAAUCCUCCCCUCCCCCCAAAAUACCCAAACCUGUGAAAAAUCCACUUUUAAAAUGAUGGCGUUGGAUGCUGCUAAGCAGGCCUUCACAGAUGCCAACAUAUCAAAAUUCAUCUCUUUUCUUCCUCUCCUACAAUUAAAAGGUAGUUAAGAAAGAGGCUGUUCCUGAUAGACCCACCUUCUGUUUUCUCCUUUGUAUGCGUAUUAUUCAUUAGCAGUCUAAUAAGAGUUUCAAAAUGCUCUGUGCCUCUGCCAGCAGGGCAUAUGUAUGUAGACAUGUGCUUGUGACAGAUAAGUACAUAAACAGCAUAUUGGCACCAGAAAGACAUCUGUGCCUAGAAAAACGCUUGUGAUAUGUACAUAAAUGACAUUUUAGCUCUAGUCAAGUCCUUGUGGCUUUGAGAGGAAUAUGUGACUGUACUCUUCUCUGUGAAUACUGAAAAGGUGCGCCUCAGACGGGAGAGUUUUCCCGAGGUUUGUGGGGAGAUGGGGAACAGGCCGGGCUGCAGCCAGGUUGCGGCAGACGGUGGGAGCGCCGUGCCAGGGGAGGGUGGGCGCUGCCUCUGGCGCUGCCGCGGGGGGAAGCACCCGGCACCCCCAAACCUGACUCGGUGCAUCCGACGGGAUGUGCCUGCGGGGCGGCGCUGCCAACGCGGCCCAGAUCCACCGGUGCGAAGGGAAUCAAAUCUUGGACCAAAAAGCCAAGGGUGAUCCAGGGUCGGGGGGUAUAGGGAGGGCUCCCUGCAGCACUUUCUGCUAACUGCAUUUUAUUAUCUGGCUGAAGUCUGAGUGUAUUCCCUUCACAACUGGCUUCUACAGCAGAAAAGGGACAUUUUGGACUCUAACAGAAGGGGACUGAGCAUCCCAUCUUCUGGGAUCAUUCCCAGAUGGCACAGACACUGUAGGUCUGCUCACACCACUUGGUUUAGGCUCGUAAUGCCUCAGUUUGCCCAUUCCUGGUGACAGAUCCCUGACUUGGAGCUUUAAUGAGCACUGGAAAUGUUGUGGCUGGGAGGUUACAGGCGAGAGGUCUAUGGUCCCAGGAAAACCUAGACAUUACUUGCAUGUAGUCUGGGUGAGGGAGGAGAGAGAGAAGAUGCAAAAUUGGCAGCACUUCAGUAUUCACCACACACACAGAGCAGUAAAUAUGAACUUGGCUUCCUGAUUCAGGGCACUGAAGCCAAAGUCUGGGAUAUAUGGGAGCCCUUAUGUCCCAGUGACAUCACCCCAAGUGGGGAACUUCAGCCUAAAUUGUGAGGUCAACCAUGUCUUUCCUGAGUUUACCCCAGGAGGUUUGGGUGCUCCAGCACUCUCCAUUCCUGGCUUUCUGAAAUUACAAAUCCACUGUAGAUUUCAUUUGAUCCAGUAAAGUAAAUCCUGAAAGGAAAUGAGUGUCCUAAUCUGUCACUGACUCCAGGUUCAUGAAGAUUCACCUGUGCUGGACCAUGAAAGAGCAGCUGCACCUGCAUGAAAACCUCCUGGGAUGUGGCAUUUAGACAGACAUCGGGGUGGUCGCUGCUGCUCAAGAGCUUGCCUGUGGUGAAAAUGGCCUCACUUCCUUGGGUCUGACACGAAGAGGAGAGAAACAGCAAAAUAUUUCUUGCUGGAAAUCAGGAUGGGUCCUCGGACUUUGCUGAGCCUGUUUGUUGACGUGACCUGAGUUCGCGGCUCCCCGGGUGGAUGGGGGUCUCACACCUCCAACAUGAUGGAUGGAACAACAGUGGUGGAUGAGCUGUUACUUGCCUGAAAAAAAGUGUUUUGGGGGAAAAUUGUCUCCAGUCAUUCUCAUUUUGCAUGUGAUUUUUCCUACAUAUGCUUCUAAUCAUUAAGAAAUUCUGUAGCUUAAAUAAUGCUCUGAAAGUACGGUAACUGUUGGACUACAUUCUGUUGUAACCUUAUUGAAUUUCACUUCUCUGGAAAAAAUAAUGGGAUACUAUAUCUUGAAAAACAAAUGGUAAUUGCA